RNAcentral lists this small RNA (1012 nucleotides) under Pongo abelii (Sumatran orangutan). RNAcentral describes it as "processed transcript". Lineage: Eukaryota; Metazoa; Chordata; Mammalia; Primates; Hominidae. The record is from RNAcentral.
GUAUUGGAGCCUUCAUCAGACCACACCCAGCAGUCAGAAAAGAGGUGCAGGGGCCCGGGCUGGGACAGUGAAGAGUGCUGGGCAGUCUGUGGUCCUCUCUACCUCAACUUUUUCAUCUUAAAAAAACAAAUAGGGUUGUGUGUGUGGCUGGUGGUCAUAAGGUCCUUUCUGGCUCUAAUAACCUGAGCUUCUGUUAUGAAGCUGGGACCCUUAGAGCCUCAGAAUGAUCCUCUGUUUGUGAAGCCCCCAUCAGGUGCUAAGCACCAUGGUGGCACUUAGCUGAAGCUCCUCUGUAACUCCUGUGGGCCCUGCCUUGCCCACCCCCUGCAGCUGCUGCAGUGCUCCUGAGCAGCACAGGCCUGAUGGAGCUUCUGGAGAAGAUGCUGGCACUCACCUUGGCAAAGGCAGAUUCUCCCAGGACUGCACUCCUCUGCUCUGCCUGGCUGCUCACUGCCUCCUUCUCUGCCCAGCAGCACAGUGGCAGUUUGCAGAAGGACCCUCUAUUGUCCCAGGCCUGUGUUGGCUGCCUGGAGGCCUUGCUUGACUACCUGGAUGCCCGGAGCCCAGACAUCGCUCUCCACGUGGCCUCCCAGCCUUGGAAUCGGUUUUUGCUGUUUACCCUCUUGGAUGCUGGAGAUAAUUCCUUCCUCAGACCUGAGAUUUUGAGGCUCAUGACCCUGUUUAUGCGGUACCGGAGUAGCAGUGUCCUCUCUCAUGAAGAGGUGGGUGAUGUUCUGCAAGGUGUGGCUUUGGCUGACCUGUCUACCCUCUCGAACACCACACUCCAGGCCCUGCAUGGCUUCUUCCAGCAGCUCCAGAGCAUGGGACACCUGGCUGACCACAGCAUGGCCCAGACCCUGCAGGCCUCCUUGGAGGGCCUUCCCCCUAGCACCUCCUCAGGCCAGCCACCCCUGCAGGACAUGCUCUGCCUGGGAGGGGUGGCUGUAUCCCUGUCCCACAUCAGAAACUGAUCCUCAGGACUUGAAGGCCCAGAAGUGGAGAGAGAAUGAGA